RNAcentral lists this transfer RNA (73 nucleotides) under Phrynosoma platyrhinos (Desert horned lizard). RNAcentral's name for it is "tRNA-OTHER". Lineage: Eukaryota; Metazoa; Chordata; Lepidosauria; Squamata; Phrynosomatidae. The record is from RNAcentral.
UAGUUUGUGGUGUAGUGGUUUGAGUGUUGGACUAUGACUCUGGAGACGAGGGUUCAAAUCCCUGCUUAGCCAU